This 97-nucleotide small RNA is filed under the name Arabidopsis thaliana (thale cress). RNAcentral describes it as "ATSL176880". Lineage: Eukaryota; Viridiplantae; Streptophyta; Magnoliopsida; Brassicales; Brassicaceae. The record is from RNAcentral.
UAAGUUUUUUUUUGGUAAAGUAUCUUAUUAUUUAUUUAUAAACGUAAAAAUAAACUACACUCGGACACUCUGCGUAACCAUAAAGCUAAAUAAGUUU